AAAUUCAACAAUAGAAAAGAAUGAUUAAAGAAGAAUGCAUCUUUUGAGGGGGAGCUUUAGAUAUUCAGUAUCUCAUACCUUGAUUUUUAUGGAUUGAUUUUGAUGAACCUCCUUAUAUUGCAAGACUUGCUUUAAAGGUUGUCUUAUCUCAAACAUUGAGUCUUAUGAAAAUAAGCUGAUACUUAUAGAAAAUAUAUUUGUUUUGAGAUUGACAAUUUUAUUGAACAUUAUCUACAAAUUCUAAACUCUUAAAUGGAAUGAUCAAUUAAGGGGGAGAAAAAAAAAUUCAGAAGGAAAGAUCAUAUGAAACUUAAUCGCAUAAAUCUAUAACUAAAGGAGAGAGAAAUCCUAAUACUCUCCAAUAUGUAUUAUCUGAAAUUUAAUCUGAAAAACUUUAUGAUACAACUUGAAGCUUGUUAUUUGGUUAAUAUAUCUUAUGCAUAAAUCAUGAACCAAAUUGCAAUUCAAAUAGUUGAUCUCAAGAGCCUCUAAUUUAAUGAAAAAGGGGGAGAAUGAUAUGUUGAAUUUGCUUGAGUAUCUUUUAGAAAAUCUAUUUUGAAAUUCACUGUGCCAAUUCAUAUUUUUAUGUAUCAAAUUGUGCUUAUUUUCUAAAAGAAAUAAAGGAAAGUCUUUAAAUGAGCUCUAAGAUGUAUCAAAAAUUGCAUAUUUUGGUAUUUGUGCCCCAAUGCUCUUAUUAUCAUAAAAGAACUUUGAAGUCAUUAAGAAUUAAUGAUCCAACAUGAUGAUAUGUUUUUCAAGUAUAUAAGUUUUGAUCUUAUACUCUGAAAAUUAAUUAAAUUGCUCUCAUGUUGAUAAAAUAUUUAA
This 825-nucleotide long non-coding RNA is filed under the name Phoenix dactylifera (date palm). RNAcentral's name for it is "long non-coding RNA (PDAC_LNC016079)". Lineage: Eukaryota; Viridiplantae; Streptophyta; Magnoliopsida; Arecales; Arecaceae. The record is from RNAcentral.